GGACUACCCGGGUAUCUAAUCCCGUUUGCUCCCCUGGCUUUCGCGCCUCAGCGUCAGAAAAGGUCCAGCGUGCCGCCUUCGCCACCGGAGUUCCUUCUGAUAUCAACGCAUUUCACCGCUCCACCAGAAGUUCCGCACGCCCCUACCUCACUCGAGACACACAGUAUCCACGGCAGUUCCCCGGUUGGGCCGGGGGAUUUCACCACAGACUUGCAUGCCCGCCUACGCGCCCUUUAAGCCCAGUGAUUCCGAACAACGUUUGCACGGUUCGUCUUACCGCGGCUGCUGGCAC
RNAcentral lists this ribosomal RNA (292 nucleotides) under uncultured Planctomycetota bacterium. RNAcentral's name for it is "uncultured planctomycete partial 16S ribosomal RNA". The record is from RNAcentral. Lineage: Bacteria; Pseudomonadati; Planctomycetota.